Molecule: non-coding RNA, 93 nt
Filed under: Streptococcus gordonii
Lineage: Bacteria; Bacillati; Bacillota; Bacilli; Lactobacillales; Streptococcaceae
Description: yjdF RNA
Rfam family: azaaromatic riboswitch aptamer (yjdF RNA)
Source: RNAcentral
ACUAAGAUAACAAUACAGUUCCGGUUAGUAGUCCAGACGUAGGCUGUCAUAUCAGAAACCUUCCUCCUUGGUUGUCCGUUCUUAGGGAUUUUU